RNAcentral lists this ribosomal RNA (60 nucleotides) under Scleroderma citrinum. Its description in RNAcentral is "partial 28S ribosomal RNA". Lineage: Eukaryota; Fungi; Basidiomycota; Agaricomycetes; Boletales; Sclerodermataceae. The record is from RNAcentral.
UUUGACCUCAAAUCAGGUAGGACUACCCGCUGAACUUAAGCAUAUCAUAAAACGGAGGAA